UAGUGUGUGUGUCGCCGCAGUGUACAAACGGUCGAGGAAGAUAAGGGUCUUUCUUUAUCUUCCUUGCAGUUCGCUAACCCGCCAAGACAUAAAGGUAACCGUCACUGGCACACAUAUAGAACUGUGGCCUGUCUUGCUCUCUGCUUCAUGGAACCUCAGUCUGGAAUCAGGCGUCACGCUGUCCGGGUGGCAAGGCUGUUAUCACCCCUGUGGAACCCCGUGGUGAGUCAGGAGCGGCGUGGCGUGGUAAGGGUGAAGGGUCGCUUGGAGCAGUGGCAGGCAGGUGAUAAGCAGUGACGUGUUGUGGUGGCGGUGGUGGUGGUGAAUUGAAGUACAAAUAUCUUGUAAACAGCUUCGUCUUGUGCUAAUAUAAAGGGUUGGAAAUUUGUUCUAGUUUUUGUUGUUUUUAUUAUUGUUAUUAUUAUUGUUGUAUACGUAUAGAUAUAUGUUCUUGAUAUAUGUUCUGAUCAGGAAUAAAAGCGCCGAGCAUUAUUUAGUAGAAGAAGAAAGAAAGAAGAAGGAAAGGCUUUAUAUCUGUUAAAGCUUUACAAUGUGAAGAUGGGAGAUUGUAAUAACAGGUUGUCAGAAGGAGCAGCAGCAGCAGCAGCAGGAGGGACGCAGGGUAAAAAAGUAUAGAGGAGGAGUAGGGACGUGUGAGAAAGAGAGGAGAAACGGAAAACACAGAGGAACAGAAAAAGAGGAAGAACAAGUAGAAAAUGUAGUUAUAACGAGAACAGGUAUAGUGAAGAAAAGAGAGGAAAAUUAACACCAACUGGAGAAGGAGGCUGUGGUGUGGUGAUGGCUGAGAGGAGAUGAAGGAAGAAUAAAUACAGGCGAUAAGUUGCUCAGUGGAAAGAGUGACGUGAACAUGACUGAUACAGAUUGUCUUAACCUUUGCUAAACCUGUUCCCGUUGCCCCCCUCUGCUUCCCUAUCUCGACCCUUGUGUUUAUUUAUCUCCAUGCUUGUGAAACGUGCCGCGGUAUCUUCUGGUGCGUGUACUGACUUUACAUUCGCCUUCGAUCGCUUGUGUCUGUCUAACAUGAUUCAAAUACUAA
Molecule: long non-coding RNA, 1057 nt
Organism: Portunus trituberculatus (swimming crab)
Lineage: Eukaryota; Metazoa; Arthropoda; Malacostraca; Decapoda; Portunidae
Exons: 3
Source: RefSeq, a predicted model, not a curated record